RNAcentral lists this unclassified non-coding RNA (333 nucleotides) under Hevea brasiliensis (rubber tree). The record is from RNAcentral. Lineage: Eukaryota; Viridiplantae; Streptophyta; Magnoliopsida; Malpighiales; Euphorbiaceae.
UGCAAGAGAAUCUCUCAAGCCAAAUCUAAAGUAAUCACCCUUUCCCACUACUUCUGUUUUGGGGACUGCUGCAGCAGGCUGGUUUACUGCCAAAGGCAUCUUGCAGAAAUACCAACGAACAUCACCACCAUCUGACGGACUUCUAGUCUGAGCAAGGUACUUUUGCCUCCCCUCUAAGUGUUCAAUCUCAUCUGCUAACCUCCUAAUAUUUGAUGGUGUGUUCUUCAACAUGUCAGGAGAGGUUUCAUCGAUCUCACCUUUCGACCCAGAAACAGAUGCCAUUUCCUCCUCCUGAACCUCAACCUCACAAAAGUCCAAACACCUCUCUACCAG